This is a long non-coding RNA of Drosophila gunungcola (fruit fly), 405 nucleotides long. RefSeq lists it as uncharacterized. NCBI's taxonomy places the organism in Eukaryota, Metazoa, Arthropoda, Insecta, Diptera, Drosophilidae. The transcript has 3 exons. The record is from RefSeq and is a predicted model, not a curated record.
CAACAAGAAGUCAACUGCAUUCCGCAUUUAUGGAGAGAAAAGGUGUCCUGAUCCUGAUAGCCAUACAGCUGAAGCAUAGCCAUAGCCCUGUGCCAAAUUAAAUUCUCUGCGGUUUGCAACAUGCGGCGCUGGCAAUUGCGGUUUGCCAAAUGUUUACAUCUCAGCUACUCUAAUUGCCUGGCUGGCUUUAAUUAAAAAGCCAAAUCCACAGCCACCGCAAACUUAACACUAAUUAGAUUGCCAACUUCGAGCCCUGUCUAUAUAAGGCAACUUGCCAGCAUUUCCCAUUCGCAUCGUUUGUUUAAUGGUGUAGAUUGUUGCACGCUGACAAUUUGCAGCAGCAGCAGCAGUAGCAGUAGUAAAUGUUGCUGCAGUUACAGCAACAGCAACAGCAAUUGCAACUGC